GUUAACAGCUCCUAAAUUCACAGUCUUUGGUUGCAUAACAAUGAAGUCUAAUAUCAUUACCAGUCCCCGACUGGAUGAAAAAGCAAGACCAAACUGGAUGCUGCUCUCCAGAAAGCUCAUGGAGUGCAAAGGCGGAUCGGACUGAGGGGCCACAGGAAAGCUCAAGCGACUCUCCAAACACCCGAAAAAGUAACCCGAGGACACAGGAGGACAGCACAGAAGAAUUAUCUACUAGAAGAACGAUACUGCAUAUUGGGAAAUCAGGAACCUGAGAAGCAUGAGACAAAGAAGAGGCAUCCCUUCACGCUCAGAAGACCAGCAUGAGAUAGAUAAAGAGGAGCCUGACGUCACCACGCACAGAAGAACAGCAACGACCCGAAGCCUCCACCUGGAGCACUUUAAACCGAAAUGAGUAUGACACCACUGGAAGGGACUUGAAGUACAAUUUAGGGAAGAUGACAGCAAGCGGGCCUUUUUUUUUUUUUCCUAUCUUCCUUUGAAAAGGUGGUUAGCUAAAAAAGAAAAUGUAGGCAUUAACUAUAGGAUUUGGAACAGAAAAAAAAAACCUAGUGAUUCCAAGACUUUAUAUUAUUCAGGCCUUAUAACUAAAAUGUACAUAUUAAAAGAUUAAUUUUGAGCUUCCUGGCAGAAUGUUUCUGGUCUGGUGUUGGGCUUGUUUUGAUCCUGUGCUUUCAAAAGUAUUAAUUCUAAAAACUGAAGUUGAUAAAAAAAAGUUACAAGAUUUAUAAGAAGUAAAAUGACUUAUAAUACAGAUUUAAAAUAAAAUAAGAUGAUCUUAAUUUGUCAUAAACAUAUCUUAGACUUAACUGAGUGUUUAAAUACUGAUAAAUCUAUAUACUGCCUUAUAAACCUAGGCAGUCUUAAUUUCUUUGAAAUCUAUUGCAGUGGUAGCUAGGGUCUACUGACAUGUUUCAUGAAACAUGAUUGAAACACAGCAUGAAGAUGGGCUAGGGAGACAGUUCAGUGAGUAAAAUACUUUCUUGUGCAAGAAUGAAGAUCUGAGUUUGGAUCCUCAGGCACAGUAGCACACACAUAACCUCAUGCUAGGAGAUAGAGACAGGUGGACUCAGGAAUUUUCUGGCCACACAUUUUAGAAAAAGAAAGUGAGCUCCAGUUUCAGCUAAAGAUCCUAUGACAUUAUAUAAUAUUAAUAAUAAUGUCGAGAGGAGAUUAAGGAAGAUACCCCAGCGUUAAAUCUAGUCUCUACUCAUACCUGCAUAGAUAAGUACACACACACACACACACACACACACGCGCGCGCGCGCACACACACACACACACACACACACACACACACACACGCAAACAUGCAAAUACGUAAGUAAGGUAUUAAGAGCUGUUUGAGCUGGGCGGUGGUGGAACACGCCUUUAUUCCCAGCACUCAGGAGGCAGAGGCAGGCAAAUCUCUGUGAGUUUGGGACCAGCCUGGUCUAAAGAGCUAGUUCCAAGACAGCUAUGGCUGUUAUACAGAGAAACCCUGUUUCGAAAAACAAAGAGCUGUUUGAUCUUCUAAAGAAAGUGUUUUUAUUUUUAAAGAUUCUAUUUAUUUCUAUGUGCGUGUCGUGUGUGUGUGUGUGUGUGUGUGUGUGUGUGUGUGCAGGUGCACACCAGCAGCAUAGAUAAGAUUCCCCAGAGCUGGAGUUAGAAGCAUUUGGCGGUCUGAAUUCUGGUUGGUCCUCAUGACUGAGCAGCAAGCACUCCUAACUGCUAAGCCGUCUUUCCAGCCCCUAGAGCAAGUAUUAGAGUAUAGAGAGACAAUAAAUGUCUAAAUGUUUUACUGAAAGUUCAAUCUGUUUAUAUAAAACAGCAUUACUCAGGAUGAUAAGAUGUAAGUUUUGUUAAGUUACAUAGUUUGUUUGCUGUUUUUCUUGUGCUGAGACAGGGCCUUAUAUAGUCUAAGCUACCCUUGACUCUCUGUGUAUCUGUGGAUAGACUUAAAUUCUACCUCUUAAGUGGAAAUACAGCAUGAACCAUCACACACAGCCUAUGAGUCACAAAUUCUGUAUUGUGAUUUUGAUUAGAAUUUUCUUGAAAAAUUCUAGAAAGAGGUUAAUUUUUAAGUAGCCAAAUUUAAAAGAAAAUGAGAUGAUAUGACAUGCUUUAUAUUAACCAAAAUACUUCUAAUGGACAUAAAAACCUUUUAUUAGAUUAUUCCUAUGUGUUUGUCCUCUGGGAAUACUCUCUGGGAAUAAUAUAUCAACAAAUAUUAUUCGCAAACGUGAAAUGUUAAAAUUAAGGCUAUGACACAUAUAAGUUAUAGAUAUUUUUGUCAAGUAUGAUGUUUAUACUAAAUUUUCUUUUCAUAUUGGAAAUUAUAGGAGAUGUAUUCUGCACAAACAGUAACAUUCAGGAUCUAGGUGAACUUAGCCCGUGUAUAUUAGAAAAAGGACUAUGCUAUAAAGUCUUAUAAAAAAGAGAGCUUUCCAAUACUUGCAUUUAAAGGGUGAUUAAAUUAUUAAAAUAUGGGGAUGGGGAGGUGGCUCAAUGGUUAAAAGCAUAUGCCACUCUUUCAGAAGACAGGAGUUCAGGUCCAAUAACGAGAGCAAGUGACUCAUAACUCCAGCUCCAGGGGAUCUGACACCCUCUACUGGCAUCUGCAGGUACUGCAUUCGAAUCCACAAAUGCACACUCACACACAUAUAUACAUAUGAAUAUAAAUAAAAUCUCUUUUGUUAAAAGUUCAGAAAUUGCCUCUUCCAGGGACAGUGCUUACAGGCACUCAGAAUGGUCCUACGUUUCACAUACUGUUGUAGGUUUUCCUACAAUCCAGUCUCUAGCAAAACUAGGUAUCUUGAACCCCUGGCAAUAGGAUUGUUUACCUUUAUAUCAAGAGGGUCGGGAAAGCACCAAAAUCUGCAUGUGGUGUGUAUCCAGGCAAACUUGGAUGGUUUUAUAAAGUCCUUAUGAGAUUGUCUAAAACAGAGAAGCAGUCAGUAGGGCUUGCAAUUGUCCUGUUUGUGCUCAGCAUGCCCAAGACAGUGUUGAGCGUGCUUCCUUAUUGAAAAGCAGAAAAUCAUAGUGAAAGUGUUGGAGGCACAAGCAGAGUCAGAAAGCAAUGAGUAUGAAGCUACAUGAUAAAAAUCAAGGCUUGUUCAAAAGAGAAGAAAAGUUCAGAUAUGCUCCCAAUUUUUUAUCAAGCAAAUAAAAUAUAAUUUUAAGAAAUGAACUUAGGACUAGCUUAUAAGUACAGAAACUUUUGCAUGGUUUCUGGUAUUUGCUCCAUGUGAAAUUAUGAUUCUUUGUCAUGUUGAGAUGAACUGAUUUAACUCUUAAAAUAAUAAUAAAGUUGUCCCUCAAAAUAAUUCAUUACCGGUAGAUAGUACAUUUUGUAAUGCAAUAAGAUUGAAUACUUUAAUAUUUAAAUUGGUAUGUAUGUACAUUGUGAAGUUUUCAAGGUGAACCCAGAACUGCUAACAAAAAGACAGUUUGAGCUAUAUCUCUCUGUUCAUUGGGUCAUUAGACACAAAAUUUGUGUUGUAACAAAAAAUGUUCUUAUGAUAUGCUACAUGGAAUAAUGAUGUCUAAGUCACUGACAGAUGCAACAUGAUGAAAAUAUUGGAGACUU
This is a long non-coding RNA of Mesocricetus auratus (golden hamster), 3586 nucleotides long. RefSeq lists it as uncharacterized. The transcript is spliced from 2 exons. The record is from RefSeq and is a predicted model, not a curated record. Lineage: Eukaryota; Metazoa; Chordata; Mammalia; Rodentia; Cricetidae.